AACGCUAGCUACAGGCUUAACACAUGCAAGUCGAGGGGCAGCGCAGUGCAGCAAUGCACGGGCGGCGACCGGCGCACGGGUGCGUAACGCGUAUCCAACCUUCCCGUUACUCUUGGAUAGCCUUCCGAAAGGGAGAUUAAUACAGGAUGGUAUUCAAAUUCCGCAUGUUAUUUGAAUUAAAGAUUUAUCGGUAACGGAUGGGGAUGCGUGACAUUAGAUAGUAGGCGGGGUAACGGCCCACCAAGCCAUCGAUCAGUAGGGGUUCUGAGAGGAAGGUCCCCCACAUUGGUACUGAGACACGGACCAAACUCCUACGGGAGGCAGCAGUGAGGAAUAUUGGUCAAUGGGCGUAAGCCUGAACCAGCCAAGUAGCGUGCAGGAUGACUGCCCUAUGGGUUGUAAACUGCUUUUGCCGGGGAAUAAAGUUGGGCAUGUAUGCCCAUUUGCAUGUACCCGGAGAAUAAGGACCGGCUAAUUCCGUGCCAGCAGCCGCGGUAAUACGGAAGGUCCGGGCGUUAUCCGGAUUUAUUGGGUUUAAAGGGAGCGCAGGCCGUCCCUUAAGCGUGACGUGAAAUGUACGGGCUCAACCGGUGCAGUGCGUCGCGAACUGGGGGACUUGAGUGCACUCGAGGCAGGCGGAAUUCGUGGUGUAGCGGUGAAAUGCUUAGAUAUCACGAAGAACUCCGAUUGCGAAGGCAGCAUACUAAGCCGCUACUGACGUUGAGGCUCGAAAGUGUGGGUAUCAAACAGGAUUAGAUACCCUGGUAGUCCACACGGUAAACGAUGAAUACUCGCUGUUGGCGAUAUACAGUCAGCGGCCAAGCGAAAGCAUUAAGUAUUCCACCUGGGGAGUACGCCGGCAACGGUGAAACUCAAAGGAAUUGACGGGGGCCCGCACAAGCGGAGGAACAUGUGGUUUAACUCGAUGAUACGCGAGGAACCUUACCCGGGCUUAAAUUGCACUGGACAGCUCAAGAGAUUGAGUCUUCUUCGGACCAGUGUGAAGGUGCUGCAUGGUUGUCGUCAGCUCGUGCCGUGAGGUGUCGGCUUAAGUGC
This 1056-nucleotide ribosomal RNA is filed under the name uncultured Bacteroidales bacterium. Its description in RNAcentral is "bacterial SSU rRNA". It matches the Rfam family "Bacterial small subunit ribosomal RNA", at positions 32 to 1087 of the family's 1533-position model. Lineage: Bacteria; Pseudomonadati; Bacteroidota; Bacteroidia; Bacteroidales. The record is from RNAcentral.